AGAGUCUUCUAGAUAGUCGCUGCCGAUUUUUCGGGAGAGGAAAGUCCGGGCUCCGAAGAGCAGGACGCUGGGUAACGCCCAGUUGGCGUGAGCCACAGGCCAGUGCCACAGAGAUAUACCGCCUCUUAGAGGUAAGGGUGAAAAGGUGGGGUAAGAGCCCACCGGACGGCAGGUGACUGUCGUGCCAGGUAAACCCCGUCUGGAGCAAGACCGAAUAGGAAGGGAUGACGCUGCUCGCCGACCUUCGGGUACGGUCGCUUGAGGUAUAUCGUGAGGUAUACCCUAGAUAAAUGACUAUCCACGACAAAACCCGGCUUACAGGAAGGCUCUUCAU
RNAcentral lists this RNase P RNA (334 nucleotides) under Dethiosulfovibrio salsuginis. RNAcentral describes it as "Bacterial RNase P class A". It matches the Rfam family "Bacterial RNase P class A". Rfam says of the family: Ribonuclease P (RNase P) is a ubiquitous endoribonuclease, found in archaea, bacteria and eukarya as well as chloroplasts and mitochondria. Its best characterised activity is the generation of mature 5'-ends of tRNAs by cleaving the 5'-leader elements of precursor-tRNAs. Lineage: Bacteria; Thermotogati; Synergistota; Synergistia; Synergistales; Dethiosulfovibrionaceae. The record is from RNAcentral.